Molecule: ribosomal RNA, 717 nt
Filed under: Psammodinium inclinatum
Lineage: Eukaryota; Dinophyceae; Peridiniales; Ostreopsidaceae
Description: partial large subunit ribosomal RNA
Rfam family: Eukaryotic large subunit ribosomal RNA
Source: RNAcentral
GAGGAAGUCAAACAAAAAUGGAUUCCUCAAGUAACUGCGAGUGAAUAAGGAAUUGCUCGAUUUGGAAUUUGGGGGCUUUUGCCUCCGAACUGUAUUUUCUGAAUGUGUUGCCAAUGGAGGCGCAGAUGUGAGCCUUUCUGGGAAAAAGAGACUAGCAAGCUUCAACAAGGGUGAAAAUCCCAGUUGCCAAUUGCAGACCUCCAUUUACGGUGUGCACUUCCAGAAUCACCCUCCUUGGAACUGGAGUGCAAAGAGGGUGGUAAAUCUCAGUCAAAGGUGAAUACAUUUGUUGGGACCGAUAGUGAAAAAGUACCGCGAGGGAAAUAUGAAAAGGACUUUGAAAAGAGACUUAAAAGAGCCUGCACUUGCUGAAUGUAAAGCAUACAGAAUAGUGAAUUAUUUUGAAAGAAUGCUGUGUGGUCACCCAAAUGGUCCAUUCCCUUUCGAAAAAUGGAGUUCUGAGGUCUGCAUGNGUGCUGCAUGUGGAGUUUUCUUUCUUUAUGUGCCNGUUGCAAUUGACACAGUUUUAUCUUGCAUGCGUUGGGUUGCGUGCCCUUGGGUGUGUGAUUGUGCGUGCGUGAUAUUUUGUAAAUUGUUGGGGAUCUGGGUGCCAGUGGUGUUGUUGAAGGCUGCCCGAGCCCUUUGCUGGAGGAUUCCACAGAAAUUCUGGUCCAACCCUCUGACAAGCCACUUCUGUGUGACCCGUCUUGAAAACAC